UCCAAUAACGAACUUACUGAUGGGUAGACAGAGACCGUGUACUGAUUGUCAAGUUGUGAUUUA
This 63-nucleotide small nucleolar RNA is filed under the name Carlito syrichta (Philippine tarsier). RNAcentral's name for it is "Small nucleolar RNA SNORD43 (ENSTSYG00000022590.2)". It matches the Rfam family "Small nucleolar RNA SNORD43". From Rfam's summary of the family: U43 is a C/D box small nucleolar RNA that is encoded in intron 1 of the ribosomal protein L3 gene in human and cow. Three other snoRNAs ( U82, U83a and U83b) are also encoded in the same host gene but from different introns. The record is from Rfam by way of RNAcentral. Lineage: Eukaryota; Metazoa; Chordata; Mammalia; Primates; Tarsiidae.